RNAcentral lists this transfer-messenger RNA (356 nucleotides) under Robiginitomaculum sp. It matches the Rfam family "Alphaproteobacteria transfer-messenger RNA". From Rfam's summary of the family: Bacterial tmRNA, also known as 10Sa RNA or SsrA, is named for its dual tRNA and mRNA-like properties. The record is from RNAcentral. Lineage: Bacteria; Pseudomonadati; Pseudomonadota; Alphaproteobacteria; Maricaulales; Robiginitomaculaceae.
GGUCUUUCUUUUUAAACCAUUACCCCCUAUAUAAAGGGUGCUGGCUUGCCAGCUAUGACGAUAAACGCGCGUAUAAUAAGCAGGCUGGACCCGGGGGCGGUACCCGGCGGCUCCACCAUAACUUCCCGCAUUUGGGUGGUUUUGACGGGGCCGAAAUAGAAUCGACAGAUGUGUAAAACCGUUAGCUUUCGUCCGGAUUGGUACCGAUAAAUGCCUAAUUACAGUAGUUGCAAAUGACAACACAACUGAAGAGUUUGCUCUCGCCGCGUAAGCAGCGCGAACAUCUCGCUUUUAACUCCUAGCCCUUCAGACGGCUAGGCGGGCUUCGGGGGUAGCUGGCAACAGAAACCCCCACU